Ornithorhynchus anatinus (platypus) is the source of this 1086-nucleotide long non-coding RNA. RefSeq lists it as uncharacterized. Lineage: Eukaryota; Metazoa; Chordata; Mammalia; Monotremata; Ornithorhynchidae. The record is from RefSeq and is a predicted model, not a curated record. The transcript is spliced from 4 exons.
CUUUUUCAGUUCCCUUUGGUGUUAGCCGGACACUAGUAUGCGUGAGUCCUGUUCCAGAGAGCUUCCUGGGAACUAUUGCCACCCCAGUUUCGUGUGAUGGGGCCAUUUAAUAUGCAGCGGAGAAACAGUGCUACAAAGAAAAUAAGAUAAGAUGAUGAAGCGACUGAGGACCCGAGAGGUCAAGUGACUCAGCCAAGGUCACACGGCAAGCCAGAGGCAAAGCUGGAGCUCAAAUUCCUGAUCCCCCAACUCUGUCCCGUGCUCUUCCCGUUGGGCUACACUGCCUCAUCUCUCCCAAUCAACUCCUAAGGGAAUCCAGGUCAUCCAUUCAUGCAGUUUAUAAGCCCCUUCAAUUGAACUCUCAAAACCACUUAGUACAGUGUUCGGAGCGCUCAAUAAAUCCGACCGCGCGAUUGCAAGAUGGCGUCACACUGGCACUGUCCCGAGGAGAUUGGAAGCCCGAGGUAGAAAGGAUUCCUCGCCUCUUCUGGGAGCCGGGAGCUCUGCUCUGGGAAUUUCCUAUCCCGCUUGAAGCAUGCCAACGCAUUUUGCCUUCAGUCAACUCUACCCCUUCGUUAGAUCCCGUGAAGUUGAAACGUCGCUGAACCGUGAAUUCGCGAUAUCCCGGUAGAACGACACAUCAUCCGAGCCGAAGUUGAGGGUUUCAAGCCUCGACUUCGCUGAAUUUUGAGAUACCCCGCUAUUUGUGCUCUAUACCUUGGAAUUACAGUGUAUAAUUCCAGUAAAGUCUAACAUAUCUGAAUGUUUACAAGUGCUUAUCCCUUAGGGAAAUAUAUAUAGUGUUCAUUUCUUUUGUUUAGUCUAUUUAAAGUAGGACUAGAUAAAAGAAGGAGUGAUUGACAAAUUAAUGCUCUCAGCUCCUACUCGAAAGUACUUGAAUUAUUAGUACAAAAAGCAUGUUAUAAACUAUAAUAAUUUUAACUCCAUUUCAUUGCUAAAAGCUAGUAAUAAUGAAAACAAAUGAAAAUAGCUGUGCAGUCAAACUCAGGCAAGAAUGGAAGCAGCGGUGAAGUUGGGGACUGUGCUAUAAGGUAAUUAGUUUCAUUAAAAAUCAAGAAAGGGUGA